UUAUAAUUUAAGGUCUGGCCUGCCCAAUGAUUUUUGAAUGGCCGCAGUAUUUUGACUGUGCAAAGGUAGCAUAAUCAUUAGUUUUUUAAUUGAAAGCUGGAAUGAAAGGUUUGAUGAGAAAAUAACUGUCUCAAUCUAAUUGUUUUAGAACUUAAAUUUUAAGUGAAAAAGCUUAAAUAUUAUAUAAAGACGAGAAGACCCUAUAGAGUUUUAUAAUUUUAGGAUUUUUUUUUAUAUGGAAUUUAUUUAUUAUAAGUUUUAAUAUUAUUUUGUUGGGGUGAUGAGAAAAUUGAUUAAACUUUUUUUGUUUUUAUACAUUGAUUUAUGAAUAAUUGAUCCUUGAUUUUGGAUUAUAAGAUCAAAUUACCUUAGGGAUAACAGCGUAAUUUUUUUUGGAGAGUUCUAAUCGAUAAAAAAGUUUGCGACCUCGAUGUUGGAUUAAAAUUAAAUUUUGGUGUAGAAGCUGGAAUUUUAGGUCUGUUCGACCUUUAAAAUUUUACGUGAUCUGAGUUCAGACCGG
This 520-nucleotide ribosomal RNA is filed under the name Mantichorula semenowi. RNAcentral's name for it is "partial 16S ribosomal RNA". It matches the Rfam family "Bacterial large subunit ribosomal RNA", at positions 1838 to 2619 of the family's 2925-position model. The record is from RNAcentral. Lineage: Eukaryota; Metazoa; Arthropoda; Insecta; Coleoptera; Tenebrionidae.